Molecule: long non-coding RNA, 1110 nt
Organism: Megalobrama amblycephala (Wuchang bream)
Lineage: Eukaryota; Metazoa; Chordata; Actinopteri; Cypriniformes; Xenocyprididae
Exons: 2
Source: RefSeq, a predicted model, not a curated record
ACUGGAAUCCUGGUGUUUGUGGGAAAUGUGAAGGAUGCUUCUCCCAGGAUUCUACAACAGUGUUGUCCUGAUGACUGAGGUAUUUUUUUUUUUUACUUUCCUGCCUCUUUGUAACAUGUCCAUUUACGCAUACUGUGUAGAGGUGGUGCGCAGCUUCAUGGACAUUUAAGGUUUUCUGCCGAUGAAGAGCUUCUGGGACAUUGACAUAAACAGCACUUAAAAGGUGGUGACAGACAAUUUUGGUUUUCUUGUUUUUGUGCCUUUGGAAUUCAUUGGGUUUUGUUGUUGUUGUUGUUGGUGUUGGUGUUGUUGUUGUUUUUUUCUUUUCAAAAUUACAUUCACUGUAAUGCUGGAGUAAGAUUUUAGAAGAAAACUUUUGGUCCUGUUUAAUGUUUGUGCUAGUAAAGGUUGCAGAGCUUAUAAGUAACAAGGUUUACAAAAGGUAACACUUUACAAAAGGUCUCGCUUGUUAACGUCAAUUAAUAUAUUAGACAACAUUAUCUAACUAUGUGCAUUAACGUUUUUACAGUAUAUAUCAAUAUUUGUUAACAUUAGGCAAUAAAAAUAUUUUUUUUCAAGUUAAUAAAAUGUAUAGUUAUUGUUCAUGUUAGUUUACAGUGCAUUAUCUAUUAACAUAUGCAACUUUUGAUUUUAAUAAUGCAUAAGUAAUAUUAACUAGGAUUUAUAAAUGCUUAAAGUAUUUUCAUUCAUAGUUCAUGUUAACUAAAGUAGUUAACUAAUAGAAAAUUAUUGAACAGUGUUACCCAAAGUUUUGAAUCUUUUCUUUUCUUUACAUUUUGUUUGUAUUAAUUCAUGGGUGUUAUCUUAUUUAUCAUCUUAUACAGAAUGAUUUUAUCUGAAAAUGUAAAAAUGCAGAAAGAUUGUGAUGGGUAGGUUUAGGUACCUUUGUAUGUGAUGGAGAAAAUUAUAGUGCAUAUACAGUAAGCCUCACUGACCUCCAGACUCUUUCUAAAUGAGAGUUAAAGUGUUGUAAUUGUUUGUGAUUGUGUAUAGUGUUUCUUGGGUUUUUCUUGUGCAUCAACAAAAAGGUUUUUGUGCAUUUGUUUUAGAGAUUAUUUUGUCAGUAAAUGUAGAGGGUUUCAAUUUGCA